CUAUCUGCAGUCGAGCGACAGAAGGGAGCUUGCUCCCGGAUGUUAGCGGCGGACGGGUGAGUAACACGUGGGUAACCUACCUGUAAGACUGGGAUAACUCCGGGAAACCGGAGCUAAUACCGGAUAGUUCCUUGAACCGCAUGGUUCAAGGAUGAAAGACGGUUUCGGCUGUCACUUACAGAUGGACCCGCGGCGCAUUAGCUAGUUGGUGAGGUAACGGCUCACCAAGGCGACGAUGCGUAGCCGACCUGAGAGGGUGAUCGGCCACACUGGGACUGAGACACGGCCCAGACUCCUACGGGAGGCAGCAGUAGGGAAUCUUCCGCAAUGGACGAAAGUCUGACGGAGCAACGCCGCGUGAGUGAUGAAGGUUUUCGGAUCGUAAAGCUCUGUUGUUAGGGAAGAACAAGUGCAAGAGUAACUGCUUGCACCUUGACGGUACCUAACCAGAAAGCCACGGCUAACUACGUGCCAGCAGCCGCGGUAAUACGUAGGUGGCAAGCGUUGUCCGGAAUUAUUGGGCGUAAAGGGCUCGCAGGCGGUUUCUUAAGUCUGAUGUGAAAGCCCCCGGCUCAACCGGGGAGGGUCAUUGGAAACUGGGAAACUUGAGUGCAGAAGAGGAGAGUGGAAUUCCACGUGUAGCGGUGAAAUGCGUAGAGAUGUGGAGGAACACCAGUGGCGAAGGCGACUCUCUGGUCUGUAACUGACGCUGAGGAGCGAAAGCGUGGGGAGCGAACAGGAUUAGAUACCCUGGUAGUCCACGCCGUAAACGAUGAGUGCUAAGUGUUAGGGGGUUUCCGCCCCUUAGUGCUGCAGCUAACGCAUUAAGCACUCCGCCUGGGGAGUACGGU
This 851-nucleotide ribosomal RNA is filed under the name uncultured bacterium. RNAcentral's name for it is "bacterial SSU rRNA". It matches the Rfam family "Bacterial small subunit ribosomal RNA", at positions 51 to 886 of the family's 1533-position model. The record is from RNAcentral.